Molecule: ribosomal RNA, 1455 nt
Filed under: Triticum aestivum (bread wheat)
Lineage: Eukaryota; Viridiplantae; Streptophyta; Magnoliopsida; Poales; Poaceae
Description: partial small subunit ribosomal RNA
Source: RNAcentral
AUGGAGGUUGCGAUGUCUGCAGUCGCAGGCGAACUUGUCAGCCGGUUCAUCUCCUUGCUGAUGAGCAAGUACCACUCCUCCAUCCAUGCACAAUCGAAGGAGCAGAAUCUGGCGAAGCGGCUGCGGCAUCUCCUAUUGCGAGUUGGUACCGUCGUCGAGGAGGCAGACGGGCGGUACAUAACCAACUCCGGGAUGCUAGCCCAGCUCAAGAUGUUCUCUGAGGCCAUGUAUGGAGGGUACCGUGUGCUGGACACCUUGAUGUACCGCGCCCUCCGAAACAGCGCCGGCGUCGACGAGGUUAGCAGCAACGACUCAUUCAACAGCCACUUGUAUUUAAUCAAGCGUUCUCGGAGGAUGGCCGAUGGGGCCAGGUGCCUCGAGUCGGACGGUGCCUUGGAAAGCUUAGAAGCUGCUGCUGCUAACAUGGCAGAAUUUGUUAUGCUUUUGGGUGGUUGCGAGCGCAUGUCACGUAGGCCUUAUGACACUUACCUCUACACCGACAACUUCAUGUUCAGCCGACAUGCUGAGAAGCAAAAGCUCUUGAGCUUCUUGUUGCAGCACAGCGACCCUCCUGGUCAUGAGGCAACAGCCGUCCUUCCGAUCAUAGGGGGCGCCAAAGUUGGGAAAAAAACUUUGGUUGCUCAUGCGUGUGGCGAUGAAAGAGUCCGCGCACGCUUUUCUUCUGUUUUGCACUUGAAUGGUGACAGCCUUUUGAUGCGUGGAAGGACCAAGUUUGGGGUGAAGAUGUUGGUAGUUAUUGAGUUUGCUUUUGAUGUAGGUGAUGAUGAAUGGAAAAGGUUUCACUCAUUGGUCACAAGAAUGGGCAGAGGAAGCAAAAUCAUCAUUGUAAGUAGACUUCAAAGGUUAGCCCGAUUUGGAUCGGUGAAACCGAUUUUCCUAAGUGCUAUGUCUUACGACGAGUUGAGAUACCUUUUCAAAGCACUAUCCUUCGGGAGCGAGGACCCCACAGAACAUCCACAACUAGUACAAAUAGCAGAUGAAUUUGCCAAGAGGUUCCACGGUACAGAAGGUUCACUUGUCGCCACAAAUGCGUAUGCAGAUGUGUUGAAAAGGAAUCUUGAUGUUAAGUUUUGGCGUUGCAUACUGGACAAGGGGAUGAGAAUGGUUAAAAGAAACCUUGCCAUUUAUGGCAUGCACCCGAACACGCUUAUGUACCAUGGUCACCCAGUGGACAUAACGGACUUUGCUCUGCAUCCACUUAGCAUGACACCUUAUAGUGCUAGUUUUUCAGUCAAGAAGGAAUCACCAAGUGUGACAUUUGGGGAUCUUAUAACAGAUCCUAGUGUUAGACCCAAAGGAGACUUCACUCUAAUCGUAUGGGAAUCAAGGAUACCCCCUCAUAAAUCAUUUCCUAAGUCUGUAACAAGUUGUGCUCAGGUUGCACAUCAAGGUAGCGUCAUGCCAGGGAGGAAGCGGCAAGGAGUGCCAAUCUAA